Molecule: long non-coding RNA, 488 nt
Filed under: Helianthus annuus (common sunflower)
Lineage: Eukaryota; Viridiplantae; Streptophyta; Magnoliopsida; Asterales; Asteraceae
Description: sRNA HanXRQr2_Chr07g0297161
Source: RNAcentral
UCGCUAUUACGAUUCAUUUUCCGGGAUCAAUAUAUCCAAAGAAUGUCUAAGUGCCGCCCAUAUUGGGUUAUGCUUUGUCGUUUGUCGAUAAUUCGAUAAAUGAGUUGAAGCAUUAUACUUUGUCGUUUGUCGAUAAUUCGAUAAAUGAGUUGAAGUAUUAUACUUUGUCGUUUGUCGUUAAUACGAUAAAUGAGUUGAAGUAUUGCACUUUGUCAUUCAUUGUGAGAAUUUGAUCUCGUGAGUUAUCGUAAAAGCUGUAUUGAUCAUUAACCCGGUUUUGUGUGCAUCCUUUCCUAAAUUAGGAUUAUUAGUCUCAAUACACUUACAAUCAAAGUAGAUGCUAAUUCUCAGAAGAAUCUGAACCAUGAAGCUUGUUAAUUCAAAUACUGCAUGCUGAUUUGUAAUUACAGUAGAUUGGAGUAAGGAUUGGAUCCGGCACUAAAAGACUUCAAGAAGUGGCUUAUUUUAUUAAUUAAAUCAAAUUAAGA